AGUGGCGGACGGGUGAGUAACGCGUGAGAAUCUGCCUUGGGGUCGGGGACAACCACUGGAAACGGUGGCUAAUACCGGAUAAGCCGAUUGGUGAAAGAUUUAUUGCCCGAAGAGGAGCUCGCGUCUGAUUAGCUAGUUGGUGAGGUAAGAGCUCACCAAGGCAGCGAUCAGUAGCUGGUCUGAGAGGACGAUCAGCCACACUGGGACUGAGACACGGCCCAGACUCCUACGGGAGGCAGCAGUGGGGAAUUUUCCGCAAUGGGCGAAAGCCUGACGGAUCAAGACCGCGUGAGGGAGGAAGGCUCUUGGGUUGUAAACCUCUUUUCUCAGGGAAGAAGCUCUGACGGUACCUGAGGAAUCAGCCUCGGCUAACUCCGUGCCAGCAGCCGCGGUAAUACGGAGGAGGCAAGCGUUAUCCGGAAUUAUUGGGCGUAAAGCGUCCGCAGGUGGCGAUUCAAGUCUGCUGUCAAAGCACGGGGCUUAACUCCGUAAAGGCAGUGGAAACUGAAUAGCUAGAGUGCCGUAGGGGUAGAGGGAAUUCCCGGUGUAGCGGUGAAAUGCGUAGAGAUCGGGAAGAACAUCGGUGGCGAAAGCGCUCUACUGGACGGCAACUGACACUCAGGGACGAAAGCUAGGGGAGCGAAUGGGAUUAGAUACCCC
This 660-nucleotide ribosomal RNA is filed under the name uncultured bacterium. RNAcentral's name for it is "bacterial SSU rRNA". It matches the Rfam family "Bacterial small subunit ribosomal RNA", at positions 94 to 788 of the family's 1533-position model. The record is from RNAcentral.